CCAAAUUCCUAAUAUGAUAUCAUA
This 24-nucleotide non-coding RNA is filed under the name Arabidopsis thaliana (thale cress). Lineage: Eukaryota; Viridiplantae; Streptophyta; Magnoliopsida; Brassicales; Brassicaceae. The record is from RNAcentral.